UGGCUGAAAGGAAAGAACAGAUCCGAAAAGAGGAAGAGGAAAAACUUGAGCAAAAAAUCGCCCUCCGGAUCCAACUCGAAGAGGAGAAGUUGACAAAAGGAUCCCGGUCCAAGCGAUACCGGAAGGAAACAACACCCGAACUCAUCUCUGAUGACGAGGAUGAGAGACCGGGGCAAACCAACCUCAGAGACAUGAUCAAUGAGCUCAACAGGAAAAUUGGGAAUG
RNAcentral lists this long non-coding RNA (225 nucleotides) under Daucus carota (carrot). RNAcentral describes it as "long non-coding RNA (DCAR_LNC002628)". The record is from RNAcentral. Lineage: Eukaryota; Viridiplantae; Streptophyta; Magnoliopsida; Apiales; Apiaceae.